GACGAACGCUGGCGGCGUGCUUAGCACAUGCAAGUCGAACGGAAAGGCCCUGCUUUUGUGGGGUGCUCGAGUGGCGAACGGGUGAGUAACACGUGAGUAACCUGCCCUUGACUUUGGGAUAACUUCAGGAAACUGGGGCUAAUACCGGAUAGGAGCUCCUGCUGCAUGGUGGGGGUUGGAAAGUUUCGGCGGUUGGGGAUGGACUCGCGGCUUAUCAGCUUGUUGGUGGGGUAGUGGCUUACCAAGGCUUUGACGGGUAGCCGGCCUGAGAGGGUGACCGGCCACAUUGGGACUGAGAUACGGCCCAGACUCCUACGGGAGGCAGCAGUGGGGAAUAUUGCACAAUGGGCGGAAGCCUGAUGCAGCAACGCCGCGUGCGGGAUGACGGCCUUCGGGUUGUAAACCGCUUUCGCCUGUGACGAAGCGUGAGUGACGGUAAUGGGGAAAGAAGCACCGGCUAACUACGU
Molecule: ribosomal RNA, 467 nt
Filed under: uncultured bacterium
Lineage: Bacteria
Description: partial 16S ribosomal RNA
Rfam family: Bacterial small subunit ribosomal RNA
Source: RNAcentral